Gossypium raimondii (Peruvian cotton) is the source of this 653-nucleotide long non-coding RNA. RefSeq lists it as uncharacterized. The transcript has 2 exons. NCBI's taxonomy places the organism in Eukaryota, Viridiplantae, Streptophyta, Magnoliopsida, Malvales, Malvaceae. The record is from RefSeq and is a predicted model, not a curated record.
UUAACCCAAAUUCACUCUUUAUUUAAUAUAAAUUUAAAUUAGUAAAUAACAAUUUGGAGCAAUAUGUGUUCUUCUCUUUCAGGGAAACCUAUAUGAUAUUGGGUCAUUUGGACAGAAAUUAUUUUCUAAACCAUUGGCCCAAGUUCAAGUAAUCCAAUAUUGUUGAAUCUGGAUCGGGUCGGUAUCCCUUCCUGCUAGGGCUUUAUAAGUUUUAUAUAUAUAUAAAUGGUGUAGAUGGUAAAAAUCCUUGCCAGCAAUUGAUUGCCGCCUCUGCAUCCGGUUAGGGUUCAACGAAUAACCGAGAAGGCGGCAUCAAGUUUCCUUCUAUCCUAUCGCCAUGAGAGCCAAGUGGAAGAAGAAGCGCAUGAGAAGACUGAAGCGGAAGCGCCGAAAGAUGAGGCAGAGAUCCAAGUAGACAGAACCAUCAGCCCCUCUGUUAUACGAGGUUUCUAAAUGUCUUAGCUAAUAUCGGUGUACUUUUAGGGUCCACUUAGUUAUCUGCCAUUUUUAUUUCAGUUUUAAGCUUUUUUUUUCUCUUGGGUUUCUAUUGUCUUUCAAGUUGGUGCUAAUCCAGCAGUGGGAUGAUGUAUCAUCGUUGAGAACAGUGAAUUGCAAAAAAAAAAAAAGGAGCAGAUUUUAAGAUUGGAGUUUAA